CUUUACUGAAGGAAGAACAGGGACAGGGUUUGUCUGGUAUGAUUAGGGACUAGGAUGGUGUACGUGGAACAACUCCUGGUAAGACCAGGGUUGAAGUGAGAAGUGGAAUUGACACAGAGAGCAGGGGCCCGCCCUAUCCAAGAGGCAGCAGAAUGCGGGGACUGACAGCAAACAAGAACACAUCAGUGGAAAAGGAAAGUGUAGAAGAGAGGAAAAACAACGUGGAAGUGUUCUGAUGGGACGGAAGAAGAUCGGGCCAAGGAAAGAAGAAUGUUGUGAAGAUGCAAGCAGCCAAUUUGUGCUCCAUAAAAAGUAAAAUCCAGCAAGGAACUGAAUCCCUCAGACCCACAACUCACAAGAAACUGAAGCUGAAGCAGAUUCUUCCUCAGUCAAGCUUCAGCCUGAGAAUGAUGAAGAUGCUGGAAAACCGGCCCCGUCACACACCAAUGAAGCACGAAUAGCUGUGCCCAUCUCUCAGACAACUGGCUGAUGUCGGCAGCAGGAACUGAACUGAACAAACAGGGAGGAGAGUGACUUUGCUUCUCAUCAAAGGUUACAGAAUGAAGCCUGCAGCUCAGCUUUCCAUGAAGUCAUCUUUAUGGAUUUGGGGUUCUGUGGAACUGAUUAGUAGCUUUAAAUCCCCACUUGGCUUUGUCUUUGUAAGAAGAAAAUACCUAAUUGUGUCUCAGAUUCACAUUAACUUGGUCCAUAUCUAAUUGGAAAAAAUUUUUUGUUAUUCCACAGAAUCAUUGACUGUAAUAAUCCAUAGAUUCACCACAUCUAGGCUAUUAAAACCCACUCUACCAAACUCGGACAGCAUGACAAUUGUAGUUGAUUAAUACUGUGGUGCCAUUCUGAAUAAGCUUCCAAUCUUGUCCUAGUCAAAUUCAUUGCUUGCUACAUGGCUUUCCCGGUUAAUUCUGAAUUCAGCAAAGAGCUCCAAUGGGCUGAUGUUGAGCAGAGGUCAGCGGCUGCCAGAACUGUCAUACUUACUACUGUCUCCAUGAGCCAGACUGGAAAGGUACACAGAGCUGAGAGCUCAGGUAUACCCUGAUCCCACUAUCAGAUCUAACUGGGCUCCCACCAUCACCACCCUAUUGCAGAAAGAAAUCAUGAGUGACCACUCAGCUCAAGGCUUCUCUGCUGAUGCCAUCCAGUGAGUUUCCUGGCAGCCAUCUUUUUAUGAAAGAAUAGAGGUCAGCCUGACUGCACUUCCAGAUGAUUAGAGGUGAAUCCGCAGGAAAUUUAUGGUAGAC
Long non-coding RNA from Homo sapiens (human), 1256 nucleotides. Ensembl annotates it as MIR3976 host gene. NCBI's taxonomy places the organism in Eukaryota, Metazoa, Chordata, Mammalia, Primates, Hominidae. The record is from Ensembl.